UCGGGAAUUUUGGGCAAUGGGCGAAAGCCUGACCCAGCAACGCCGCGUGAAGGAUGAAGUAUUUCGGUAUGUAAACUUCGAAAGAAUAGGAAGAAUAAAUGACGGUACUAUUUAUAAGGUCCGGCUAACUGCGUGCCAGCAGCCGCGGUAAUACGUAGGGACCAAGCGUUGUUCGGAUUUACUGGGCGUAAAGGGCGCGUAGGCGGCAAUUCAAGUCAUCUGUGAAAUCUCCGGGCUUAACUCGGAACGGUCAGAUGAUACUGCUUUGCUAGAGUGCAGAAGGGGCAAUCGGAAUUCUUGGUGUAGCGGUGAAAUGCGUAGAUAUCAAGAGGAACACCUGAGGUGAAGACGGGUUGCUGGGCUGACACUGACGCUGAGGCGCGAAAGCCAGGGGAGCAAACGGGAUUAGAUACCCCCGUAGUCCCUGAGCGGGCUGGCAAGGCGCAU
This 447-nucleotide ribosomal RNA is filed under the name uncultured bacterium. RNAcentral describes it as "bacterial SSU rRNA". It matches the Rfam family "Bacterial small subunit ribosomal RNA", at positions 355 to 825 of the family's 1533-position model. The record is from RNAcentral.